AAUUGCAAGAUAAUUCAUAAAAAGAUGCAACUGCAUCACUACCAGAUGGACCUGCGUUGUAUUAGCUAGUAGGUGAGGUAACGGCUCACCUAGGCGAAGAUACAUAGCCUCCCCAAGAGGGUGAUCGGCCACACUGGGACUGAGACACGGCCCAGACUCCUACGGGAGGCAGCAGUAGGGAAUCUUCGGCAAUGGACGAAAGUCUGACCGAGCAACGCCGCGUGAGUGAAGAAGGUUUUCGGAUCGUAAAGCUCUGUUGUAAGAGAAGAACGGGUGUAAGAGUGGAAAGUUCACACUGUGACGGUAUCUUACCAGAAAGGGACGGCUAACUACGUGCCAGCAGCCGCGGUAAUACGUAGGUCCCGAGCGUUGUCCGGAUUUAUUGGGCGUAAAGCGAGCGCAGGCGGUUAGAUAAGUCUGAAGUUAAAGGCUGUGGCUUAACCAUAGUACGCUUUGGAAACUGUUUAACUGGAGUGCAGAAGGGGAGAGUGGAAUUCCAUGUGUAGCGGUGAAAUGCGUAGAUAUAUGGAGGAACACCGGUGGCGAAAGCGGCUCUCUGGUCUGUAACUGACGCUGAGGCUCGAAAGCGUGGGGAGCGAACAGG
This 604-nucleotide ribosomal RNA is filed under the name uncultured Streptococcus sp. Its description in RNAcentral is "bacterial SSU rRNA". It matches the Rfam family "Bacterial small subunit ribosomal RNA", at positions 183 to 776 of the family's 1533-position model. The record is from RNAcentral. Lineage: Bacteria; Bacillati; Bacillota; Bacilli; Lactobacillales; Streptococcaceae.